This 245-nucleotide ribosomal RNA is filed under the name uncultured bacterium. RNAcentral's name for it is "partial 16S ribosomal RNA". It matches the Rfam family "Bacterial small subunit ribosomal RNA", at positions 1256 to 1500 of the family's 1533-position model. The record is from RNAcentral.
GGUGACGUGGAGCAAACCUCAGAAAGCCAAUCUCAGUUCGGAUUGUAGGCUGCAACUCGCCUACAUGAAGUUGGAAUCGCUAGUAAUCGCGAAUCAGAAUGUCGCGGUGAAUACGUUCCCGGGUCUUGUACACACCGCCCGUCACACCACGAGAGUUUACAACACCCGAAGUCAGUGGCCUAACCGCAAGGAGGGAGCUGCCUAAGGUGGGGUAGAUGAUUGGGGUGAAGUCGUAACAAGGUACC